This 416-nucleotide ribosomal RNA is filed under the name uncultured bacterium. RNAcentral's name for it is "bacterial SSU rRNA". It matches the Rfam family "Bacterial small subunit ribosomal RNA", at positions 355 to 775 of the family's 1533-position model. The record is from RNAcentral.
UCGAGAAUCUUUCACAAUGGGGGCAACCCUGAUGGAGCGACGCCGCGUGGAGGAUAAGGUCUUCGGAUUGUAAACUCCUGUCAUGCGAGAGCAAGGCAUAGUAAUAUGUUUGAUAGUAUCGCAAGAGGAAGAGACGGCUAACUCUGUGCCAGCAGCCGCGGUAAUACAGAGGUCUCAAGCGUUGUUCGGAAUCACUGGGCGUAAAGGGUGCGUAGGCGGCGGAGUAAGUCGGGUGUGAAAUUUGAAGGCUCAACCUUCAACUAGCACCUGAUACUACUUUGCUCGAGGCCUGAAGAGGAGCUUGGAAUUCUCGGUGUAGCAGUGAAAUGCGUAGAUUUCGAGAAGAACGCUCGCAGCGAAAGCGAAGCUCUGGUCAGGUUCUGACGCUGAGGCACGAAGGCUAGGGGAGCAAACGG